This 680-nucleotide ribosomal RNA is filed under the name uncultured diatom. RNAcentral describes it as "SSU rRNA". It matches the Rfam family "Eukaryotic small subunit ribosomal RNA", at positions 455 to 1142 of the family's 1831-position model. Lineage: Eukaryota; Bacillariophyta. The record is from RNAcentral.
CACAGGGAGGUAGUGACAAUAAAUAACAGUGCCGGGCAUUUCUAGGUCUGGCAAUUGGAAUGAGAAAUAUUUAAAUCCCUUAUCGAGGAUCAACUGAAGGGCAAGUCUGGUGCCAGCAGCCGCGGUAAUUCCAGCUUCAGUAGCGUAUAUUAAAGUUGUUGCAGUUAAAAAGCUCGUAGUCGCAUUUCUGGAGAGAGGAACUGGUCCGACCUUACGGUGGGUUCUUGGUUCUCUCUCUCCAUCCUUGAGCGGCCCGUUCUGGUAUUAGGUUAUCGGAGCGUCCGCCGCUCAUCGUUUACUGUGAGAAAAUUAGAGUGUUCAAAGCAGGCUUAUGCCGUUGAAUAUAUUAGCAUGGAAUAAUGAGAUAGGACCUCGGUACUAUUUUGUUGGUUUGCGCACCAAGGUAAUGAUGUACAGGGACAGUUGGGGGUAUUCGUAUUUCGUUGUCGGAGGUGAAAUUCUUGGAUUUCCGAAAGACGAACUACUGCGAAAGCAUUUACCAAGGAUGUUUUCAUUAAUCAAGAACGAAAGUUAGGGGAUCGAAGAUGAUUAGAUACCAUCGUAGUCUUAACCAUAAACUAUGCCGACUCAGGAUCCGCGAUUGUUUUUUGACGUCGUGGGCACUGUAUGAGAAAUCAAAGUCUUUGGGUUCCGGGGGGAGUAUGGUCGCAAGGCUGAAA